RNAcentral lists this ribosomal RNA (502 nucleotides) under uncultured bacterium. Its description in RNAcentral is "partial 16S ribosomal RNA". It matches the Rfam family "Bacterial small subunit ribosomal RNA", at positions 28 to 507 of the family's 1533-position model. The record is from RNAcentral.
GACGAACGCUGGCGGCGUGCUUAACACAUGCAAGUCGAACGGUGAAGGGGCCUGCUUUUGUGGGCCCUGGAUGAGUGGCGAACGGGUGAGUAACACGUGAGUAACCUGCCCCCUUCUUCUGGAUAACCGCAUGAAAGUGUGGCUAAUACGGGAUAUUCUGGGUCUGUCGCAUGAUGGGUCUGGGAAAGAUUGCGCCUUUGGGUGUUUUUGGUGGGGGAUGGGCUCGCGGCCUAUCAGCUUGUUGGUGGGGUGAUGGCCUACCAAGGCGGUGACGGGUAGCCGGCCUGAGAGGGUGGACGGUCACACUGGGACUGAGACACGGUCCAGACUCCUACGGGAGGCAGCAGUGGGGAAUAUUGCACAAUGGGCGCAAGCCUGAUGCAGCGACGCCGCGUGAGGGAUGGAGGCCUUCGGGUUGUAAACCUCUUUCGCCAGUGAAGCAGGCCUGCUCCUUGUGGGUGGGUUGACGGUAGCUGGAUAAGAAGCGCCGGCUAACUACGUG